GACGAACGCUGGCGGCGUGCUUAACACAUGCAAGUCGAACGGAAAGGCCCUGCUUUUGUGGGGUGCUCGAGUGGCGAACGGGUGAGUAACACGUGAGUAACCUGCCCUUGACUUUGGGAUAACUUCAGGAAACUGGGGCUAAUACCGGAUAGGAGCUCCUGCUGCAUGGUGGGGGUUGGAAAGUUUCGGCGGUUGGGGAUGGACUCGCGGCUUAUCAGCUUGUUGGUGGGGUAGUGGCUUACCAAGGCUUUGACGGGUAGCCGGCCUGAGAGGGUGACCGGCGACAGGGGUGCUGGCAGCCGCCACCGACUGUGAGGGGAGGAGGGGGUGGGGUAUAGGGCGCAGCGGCGGGAGGCAUCAGGCAGUAGCCCGGGGGGGAGCACGGCGUGCUGCGGGUUGUAACCCGCCCGCGGGUGGGCCGGAGAGUGAGGGGAAGUGAUGGCAAAAGAUGAAGCGCACAACUACGCGAGAGAGGCGGGGGUAAUAGGAGGAAGUGCACACGUCUAAAC
Molecule: ribosomal RNA, 509 nt
Filed under: uncultured bacterium
Lineage: Bacteria
Description: partial 16S ribosomal RNA
Rfam family: Bacterial small subunit ribosomal RNA (bases 20-332)
Source: RNAcentral